AUGUUUUUCUCUGCGCUUUCUUAAUCUCCCACCUCUACGUUCCCUUGACUUCAUUGAAAAAUUGGUUUAUUUCAACACCAGUUUUACUUGCAAUGUUUUUUUUUUUUUUUUUGGGGGGGGGGGCGGGAGGGCAGUGUCUGCUUAGGUCAAUCAACCGCUGCCUUCGGUUUAUAAACCGUGGGUAUGGGGAUCCCUGGGUGGCGCAGCGGUUUGGCGCCUGCCUUUGGCCCAGGGCGCGAUCCUGGAGACCCAGGAUCGAAUCCCACAUCGGGCUCCCGCUGCAUGGAGCCUGCUUCUCCCUCUGCCUGUGUCUCUGCCUCAUUCUCUCUCUCUCUGUGACUAUCACAAAUAAAUAAAAAUUAAAAAAAAUAAAAUAAACCGUGGGUAUGUGCUUACGGACUCAGGCUGCAGGGUACUCCCUCCGCGGAGCACAGAGCAACGAGAGCGGACGCCUCGCCGCUGCCCCAGCAUCUAGGAAACAGGGAUAAAGCCGCCCAACACUCAGGCGCGGGGGAGCUGAUGGAUAAUACUAAGAAACUAAAGUUUGUGUGGCCACCGAGGUGAAGAGACGGGGAAGUUCAGGGAUGCGUGUGCGGCGCCCCACCUAGAGCUGCUUGGAGGCGCCCCCUAGCCCUAGCCCUGGUCUGCGCGCCCCAGCCGCCCAGCGCUACGGCUCCGGCCGCCCACGAGCCGCGGGGGCGGGGGCGGGGACGCGCGCGGGGGCGGCGAGGACGCGCGCGGGGGCGGGGACCAGGAGCCACACCUCCCAGGGUGCAGUGCGCAGGCCCGGGCGCGCGCGCUCCGCUCGCUCCGAGCCCGGAGGACGCCGGCGCCGGCGGGGGCUCCACGGGGCCGCGCGGGAAGGCGCGCGUCCGUCGGGCGCUCGCGCGGGGCUAGUGAGGCGCCGCUAGGAGCUGCGGGCGGCCGCGGGCGUGCGGGAGCCCGGAGCGCCGCUGCCGCCGCCGCCGCCGCCGCCGUGGCGAGGCCGGGCGUAACCGCGCCGAGGGGCCGAGGUAACCGCGCUCGUCCGCGUCGCUCCUCGCCUCUGACCCCCCGCCCGAAAUCGCGCCCCCGGCUCGGGGCAGCUGCAGCCCCGCGAGCGGUCACGAAACCCGGCGGCCGAGAGCGUCUGGGGCCGCUCGGGUUGGCGGGAGGAGCGGGGCCGCAUCCCGCGGAGGAGAGCCCCGGCCUCGGGCGCUGUCGGCCGCGUCGGCGGCCUCUGGGCGGUCUCCUCGCGGUCCCUCGCGGAAGACAGGGACGGGCAGGAAACUGA
RNAcentral lists this long non-coding RNA (1273 nucleotides) under Canis lupus familiaris (dog). Its description in RNAcentral is "lncRNA (ENSCAFG00000058886.1)". Lineage: Eukaryota; Metazoa; Chordata; Mammalia; Carnivora; Canidae. The record is from RNAcentral.